GGGGGGGGCAAGCGUUGUUCGGAAUUACUGGGCGUAAAGGGCUCGUAGGCGGCCAACUAAGUCGGACGUGAAAUCCCCAGGCUCAACCUGGGAACUGCGUCUGAUACUGGAUGGCUUGAAUCCGGGAGAGGGAUGCAGAAUUCCAGGUGUGGCGGUGAAAUUCGUAGAUAUUGGGAAGAACACCGGUGGCGAAGGCGGCCAUCUGGACCGGCACUGACGCUGAGGCGCGAAAGCGUGGGGAGCAAACAGGAUUAGAUACCCUGGUAGUCCACGCCGUAAACGAUGCGUGCUAGACGUUGGGGGGCUUGCCCUUCGGUGUCGUCGCUAACGCAUGAAGCACGCCGCCUGGGGAGUACGGUCGCAAGAUUA
Molecule: ribosomal RNA, 369 nt
Filed under: uncultured bacterium
Lineage: Bacteria
Description: bacterial SSU rRNA
Rfam family: Bacterial small subunit ribosomal RNA
Source: RNAcentral